CCUACGGGUGGCUGCAGUGGGGAAUAUUGGACAAUGGGGGGAACCCUGAUCCAGCCAUGCCGCGUGUGUGAAGAAGGCCCUCGGGUUGUAAAGCACUUUCAGUGAGGAAGAACGCCUGGUGGUUAAUACCCAUCAGGAAAGACAUCACUCACAGAAGAAGCACCGGCUAACUCCGUGCCAGCAGCCGCGGUAAUACGGAGGGUGCGAGCGUUAAUCGGAAUUACUGGGCGUAAAGCGCGCGUAGGUGGCUUGAUAAGCCGGUUGUGAAAGCCCCGGGCUCAACCUGGGAACGGCAUCCGGAACUGUCAAGCUAGAGUGCAGGAGAGGAAGGUAGAAUUCCCGGUGUAGCGGUGAAAUGCGUAGAGAUCGGGAGGAAUACCAGUGGCGAAGGCGGCCUUCUGGACUGACACUGACACUGAGGUGCGAAGGCGUGGGUAGCAAACAGGAUUAGAUACCCGUGUAGUC
RNAcentral lists this ribosomal RNA (465 nucleotides) under Vreelandella stevensii. RNAcentral describes it as "partial 16S ribosomal RNA". It matches the Rfam family "Bacterial small subunit ribosomal RNA", at positions 338 to 795 of the family's 1533-position model. The record is from RNAcentral. Lineage: Bacteria; Pseudomonadati; Pseudomonadota; Gammaproteobacteria; Oceanospirillales; Halomonadaceae.